This 314-nucleotide unclassified non-coding RNA is filed under the name uncultured fungus. Its description in RNAcentral is "sequence contains ITS1". The stretch from base 1 to 100 matches the Rfam family "5.8S ribosomal RNA", at positions 50 to 154 of the family's 154-position model. The record is from RNAcentral. Lineage: Eukaryota; Fungi.
AAAUUGCGAUAAUUAUUGUGAAUUGCGGAACCCGUGAAUCAUCAAGUUUUUGAACGCAAAUGGCGCCAGUGCUUGCACAGGCACAUCUAUUUGAGUGUUGGUAAAUAUAUUCUACUUUAUCCAUCAUGGUGGAUAGUAGAGAUUAUGAAUGUCCAUUAUUCUUUGAAAAAUGGUCAUUUUAAAUGUAGAACCUCAUCAAUAAGAUUCUUCAGCGACUUUUAGUAGUGUUUGGAAUUAAACUUGAUGAAUUCUUAAUCAAAACUCUACCAUUAUUAUUCAACCUCAAAUUAGAUGAGAGUACCCGCUGAAUUUAA